RNAcentral lists this transfer RNA (69 nucleotides) under Ictidomys tridecemlineatus (thirteen-lined ground squirrel). RNAcentral's name for it is "Spermophilus tridecemlineatus (thirteen-lined ground squirrel) tRNA". It matches the Rfam family "tRNA". From Rfam's summary of the family: Transfer RNA (tRNA) molecules are approximately 80 nucleotides in length. Their secondary structure includes four short double-helical elements and three loops (D, anti-codon, and T loops). Further hydrogen bonds mediate the characteristic L-shaped molecular structure. tRNAs have two regions of fundamental functional importance: the anti-codon, which is responsible for specific mRNA codon recognition, and the 3' end, to which the tRNAs corresponding amino acid is attached (by aminoacyl-tRNA synthetases). tRNAs cope with the degeneracy of the genetic code in two manners: having more than one tRNA (with a specific anti-codon) for a particular amino acid; and 'wobble' base-pairing, i.e. permitting non-standard base-pairing at the 3rd anti-codon position. The record is from Rfam by way of RNAcentral. Lineage: Eukaryota; Metazoa; Chordata; Mammalia; Rodentia; Sciuridae.
GGGGUUAUGGCUCAGUAGUAGAGCACUUGUCUAUCAUGCGAGAGGCACUGGGUUCGAUUCUCAGCACCA